UAACACGGGGGGAGCAAGCGUUGUUCGGAAUCACUGGGCGUAAAGGGCGUGUAGGCGGUCAAGUAAGUGGAAUGUGAAAUGCCCCGGCUCACCCGGGGACCUGCAUCCCAAACUGCUUGGCUUGAGUAUGGGAGAGGAUGAGGGAAUUCCUGGUGUAGCGGUGAAAUGCGUAGAUAUCAGGAGGAACACCGGUGGCGAAGGCGC
RNAcentral lists this ribosomal RNA (204 nucleotides) under uncultured bacterium. Its description in RNAcentral is "partial 16S ribosomal RNA". It matches the Rfam family "Bacterial small subunit ribosomal RNA", at positions 521 to 724 of the family's 1533-position model. The record is from RNAcentral.